RNAcentral lists this transfer RNA (68 nucleotides) under Sus scrofa (pig). Its description in RNAcentral is "tRNA-Trp". Lineage: Eukaryota; Metazoa; Chordata; Mammalia; Artiodactyla; Suidae. The record is from RNAcentral.
AGGAAUUUAGGUUAACACAGACCAAGAGCCUUCAAAGCUCUAAUGAAUGACAAAUGACUUGACUCCUG